Molecule: ribosomal RNA, 346 nt
Filed under: uncultured bacterium
Lineage: Bacteria
Description: bacterial SSU rRNA
Rfam family: Bacterial small subunit ribosomal RNA
Source: RNAcentral
GAUGAACGCUAGCGGCAGGCCUAAUACAUGCAAGUCGAACGGUAAGGCCCUUUCGGGGGUACACGAGUGGCGGACGGGUGCGUAACGCGUAUGCAACAUGCCUUCCAGCGGGGGAUAUACCAGGGAAACUUGGCGCAAUACCCCAUAGAAUUACGGGACCGCAUGGUCUUGUGAUUAAAACUACCGGUGCUGGGAGAUUGGCAUGCGUGACAUUAGCUAGUUGGCGGGGUAACGGGCCCACCAAGGCGACGAUGUCUAGCUGGUCUGAGAGGAUGAUCAGCCACACUGGGACUGAGACACGGCCCACGACUCCUACGGGAGGCAGCAGUAGGGAAUAUUGGACAAU